Molecule: ribosomal RNA, 484 nt
Filed under: uncultured bacterium
Lineage: Bacteria
Description: partial 16S ribosomal RNA
Rfam family: Bacterial small subunit ribosomal RNA
Source: RNAcentral
AUUGAACGCUGGCGGCAGGCCUAACACAUGCAAGUCGAGCGGAUGAAGGGAGCUUGCUCCUGGAUUCAGCGGCGGACGGGUGAGUAAUGCCUAGGAAUCUGCCUGGUAGUGGGGGAUAACGUCCGGAAACGGGCGCUAAUACCGCAUACGUCCUGAGGGAGAAAGUGGGGGAUCUUCGGACCUCACGCUAUCAGAUGAGCCUAGGUCGGAUUAGCUAGUUGGUGGGGUAAAGGCCUACCAAGGCGACGAUCCGUAACUGGUCUGAGAGGAUGAUCAGUCACACUGGAACUGAAACACGGUCCAGACUCCUACGGGAGGCAGCAGUGGGGAAUAUUGGACAAUGGGCGAAAGCCUGAUCCAGCCAUGCCGCGUGUGUGAAGAAGGUCUUCAGAUUGUAAAGCACUUUAAGUUGGGAGGAAGGGCAGUAAGUUAAUACCUUGCUGUUUUGACGUUACCAACAGAAUAAGCACCGGCUAACUUCGUG